RNAcentral lists this ribosomal RNA (490 nucleotides) under uncultured bacterium. Its description in RNAcentral is "partial 16S ribosomal RNA". It matches the Rfam family "Bacterial small subunit ribosomal RNA", at positions 30 to 507 of the family's 1533-position model. The record is from RNAcentral.
UGAACGCUGGCGGUAGGCCUACCACAUGCACGUCGACCGGCAGCACAGUAAGAGCUUGCUCUUACGGGUGGCGAGUGGCGGACGGGUGAGGAAUACAUCGGAAUCUACUUUUUCGUGGGGGAUAACGUAGGGAAACUUACGCUAAUACCGCAUACGACCUACGGGUGAAAGCAGGGGAUCUUCGGACCUUGCGCGAUUGAAUGAGCCGAUGUCGGAUUAGCUAGUUGGCGGGGUAAAGGCCCACCAAGGCGACGAUCCGUAGCUGGUCUGAGAGGAUGAUCAGCCACACUGGAACUGAGACACGGUCCAGACUCCUACGGGAGGCAGCAGUGGGGAAUAUUGGACAAUGGGCGCAAGCCUGAUCCAGCCAUACCGCGUGGGUGAAGAAGGCCUUCGGGUUGUAAAGCCCUUUUGUUGGGAAAGAAAAGCAGCAGGUUAAUACCCCGCUGUUCUGACGGUACCCAAAGAAUAAGCACCGGCUAACUUCGUG